GGUUUGUGGCUCAGAGGUAGAGCACUUGCCUGGCAUGUGGGAGGCACUGGGUUUGAUCCUCAUCACCA
RNAcentral lists this transfer RNA (68 nucleotides) under Marmota monax (woodchuck). RNAcentral describes it as "tRNA.Ala". The record is from RNAcentral. Lineage: Eukaryota; Metazoa; Chordata; Mammalia; Rodentia; Sciuridae.